RNAcentral lists this ribosomal RNA (253 nucleotides) under uncultured bacterium. RNAcentral describes it as "partial 16S ribosomal RNA". It matches the Rfam family "Bacterial small subunit ribosomal RNA", at positions 524 to 776 of the family's 1533-position model. The record is from RNAcentral.
UACGUAGGUGGCAAGCGUUGUCCGGAAUUAUUGGGCGUAAAGCGCGCGCAGGCGGUCCUUUAAGUCUGAUGUGAAAGCCCCGGGCUCAACCUGGGAAUGGCGAUGGAUACUGGCUCGCUAGAGUGCGGUAGAGGAGAGUGGAAUUCCCGGUGUAGCAGUGAAAUGCGUAGAGAUCGGGAGGAACAUCAGUUGCGAAGGCGGCUCUCUGGACCAGCACUGACACUGAGGCACGAAAGCGUGGGGAGCAAACAGG